RNAcentral lists this small RNA (105 nucleotides) under Arabidopsis thaliana (thale cress). RNAcentral describes it as "ATSL035090". Lineage: Eukaryota; Viridiplantae; Streptophyta; Magnoliopsida; Brassicales; Brassicaceae. The record is from RNAcentral.
AAGAGAAAAUGGAUAUAAGUGUUGUUUAAACACUCUUAAUCCAUCUCUAAUUCUUAUAACUAGUCAAAUGCAUUGGAUUGUGACACAUUUUUACCAUAGAAACAC